AGCAAGGCACUGAAAAUGCCUAGAUGAGUGUACCAACUCCAUAAACA
RNAcentral lists this transfer RNA (47 nucleotides) under Capra hircus (goat). RNAcentral describes it as "partial tRNA-Phe". The record is from RNAcentral. Lineage: Eukaryota; Metazoa; Chordata; Mammalia; Artiodactyla; Bovidae.